UACAGAGGUGGCAAGCGUUGUUCGGAAUUACUGGGCGUAAAGGGCGCGUAGGCGGUCUUGUAAGUCUUGUGUGAAAUCCCUCGGCUUAACUGAGGAACUGCACGGGAUACUGCAUGACUUGAGAUCGGGAGAGGGAAGCGGAAUUCCGGGUGUAGCGGUGAAAUGCGUAGAUAUCUGGAGGAAUACCGGUGGCGAAGGCGGCAUCCUGGACCGAGAUUGACGCUGAGGCGCGAAAGCGUGGGGAGCAAACAGG
Molecule: ribosomal RNA, 253 nt
Filed under: uncultured bacterium
Lineage: Bacteria
Description: partial 16S ribosomal RNA
Rfam family: Bacterial small subunit ribosomal RNA
Source: RNAcentral